RNAcentral lists this ribosomal RNA (138 nucleotides) under uncultured eukaryote. Its description in RNAcentral is "partial 18S ribosomal RNA". It matches the Rfam family "Eukaryotic small subunit ribosomal RNA", at positions 1299 to 1458 of the family's 1831-position model. The record is from RNAcentral.
UGGUGGAGUGAUUUGUCUGGUUAAUUCCGUUAACGAACGAGACCUCACCUGCUAAAUAGCUUGGCGAAUCCUAGAUUCGUACGAGACUUCUUAGAGGGACUAUCGCUGUGUAGGCGAUGGAAGUUCGAGGCAAUAACA